This 235-nucleotide ribosomal RNA is filed under the name Anophryoides haemophila. RNAcentral describes it as "partial Bacterial small subunit ribosomal RNA". It matches the Rfam family "Bacterial small subunit ribosomal RNA", at positions 1067 to 1308 of the family's 1533-position model. The record is from RNAcentral. Lineage: Eukaryota; Ciliophora; Oligohymenophorea; Philasterida; Glauconematidae.
GUGAGAUGUUGGGUUAAGUCCCGCAACGAGCGCAACCCUUGUCCCUAGUUGCUACGCAAGAGCACUCUAGGGAGACUGCCGGUGACAAACCGGAGGAAGGUGGGGAUGACGUCAAGUCCUCAUGGCCCUUAUGGGUAGGGCUUCACACGUCAUACAAUGGUCGGAACAGAGGGUCGCCAACCCGCGAGGGGGAGCCAAUCCCAGAAAACCGAUCGUAGUCCGGAUCGCAGUCUGC